GCCCCCUUAACUCAGUUGGUAGAGUGCCUCACUUGUAAUGAGGAUGUCAUCCGUUCAAUUCGGAUAGGGGGCC
Molecule: transfer RNA, 73 nt
Filed under: Candidatus Nanopelagicales bacterium
Lineage: Bacteria; Bacillati; Actinomycetota; Actinomycetes; Candidatus Nanopelagicales
Also listed under: 1 other name
Description: tRNA-Thr
Rfam family: tRNA
About the family: Transfer RNA (tRNA) molecules are approximately 80 nucleotides in length. Their secondary structure includes four short double-helical elements and three loops (D, anti-codon, and T loops). Further hydrogen bonds mediate the characteristic L-shaped molecular structure. tRNAs have two regions of fundamental functional importance: the anti-codon, which is responsible for specific mRNA codon recognition, and the 3' end, to which the tRNAs corresponding amino acid is attached (by aminoacyl-tRNA synthetases). tRNAs cope with the degeneracy of the genetic code in two manners: having more than one tRNA (with a specific anti-codon) for a particular amino acid; and 'wobble' base-pairing, i.e. permitting non-standard base-pairing at the 3rd anti-codon position.
Source: RNAcentral